AGAGUUUGAUCAUGGCUCAGAUUGAACGCUGGCGGCAGGCCUAACACAUGCAAGUCGAGCGGCAGCACAGGGGAACUUGUUCCCUGGGUGGCGAGCGGCGGACGGGUGAGUAAUGGCUGGGAACCUGCCCUGAUGUGGGGGAUAACAGUUGGAAACGACUGCUAAUACCGCAUGAUGUCUACGGACCAAAGAGGAGGACCUUCGGGCUUCUCGCGUCAGGAUGGGCCCAGUUGGGAUUAGCUAGUUGGUAGGGUAAUGGCCUACCAAGGCGACGAUCCCUAGCUGGUUUGAGAGGAUGAUCAGCCACACUGGAACUGAGACACGGUCCAGACUCCUACGGGAGGCAGCAGUGGGGAAUAUUGCACAAUGGGCGCAAGCCUGAUGCAGCCAUGCCGCGUGUGUGAAGAAGGCCUUCGGGUUGUAAAGCACUUUCAGCAGUGAGGAAGGUGGUGUAGUUAAUACCUGCAUCAUUUGACGUUAGCUGCAGAAGAAGCACCGGCUAACUCCGUGCCAGCAGCCGCGGUAAUACGGAGGGUGCGAGCGUUAAUCGGAAUUACUGGGCGUAAAGCGCAUGCAGGCGGUCUGUUAAGCAAGAUGUGAAAGCCCCGGGCUUAACCUGGGAACCGCAUUUUGAACUGGCAGGCUAGAGUCUUGU
This 655-nucleotide ribosomal RNA is filed under the name uncultured bacterium. RNAcentral describes it as "bacterial SSU rRNA". It matches the Rfam family "Bacterial small subunit ribosomal RNA", at positions 8 to 652 of the family's 1533-position model. The record is from RNAcentral.